This 316-nucleotide unclassified non-coding RNA is filed under the name uncultured fungus. RNAcentral's name for it is "partial contains small subunit ribosomal RNA, internal transcribed spacer 1, and 5.8S ribosomal RNA". The stretch from base 1 to 73 matches the Rfam family "Eukaryotic small subunit ribosomal RNA", at positions 1759 to 1831 of the family's 1831-position model. The record is from RNAcentral. Lineage: Eukaryota; Fungi.
GCAAACUUGGUCAUUUAGAGGAAGUAAAAGUCGUAACAAGGUUUCCGUAGGUGAACCUGCGGAAGGAUCAUUACCGAGUUAGGGUACUCUUCGUGCCCGACCUCCAACCCUUUGUCUACCUGACCAGAUGUUGCUUCGGCAGGCCCGCCGCCCCGCAAGGGGUGGCCGCCGGGGGUCCUUACCGGCCCCGGGUCCGCGCCUGUCGACGGCCCUUCUAAACUCUUGCUUAAAACGUGUCGUCUGAGUAAAACAAACAAAUAAAAACAAAACUUUCAACAACGGAUCUCUUGGUUCUGGCAUCGAUGAAGAACGCAGC